CGACGGGUGAGUAAUGUCUGGGAAACUGCCCGAUGGAGGGGGAUAACUACUGGAAACGGUAGCUAAUACCGCAUAACGUCGCAAGACCAAAGAGGGGGACCUUAGGGCCUCUUGCCAUCGGAUGUGCCCAGAUGGGAUUAGCUAGUAGGUGGGGUAACGGCUCACCUAGGCGACGAUCCCUAGCUGGUCUGAGAGGAUGACCAGCCACACUGGAACUGAGACACGGCCCAG
This 231-nucleotide ribosomal RNA is filed under the name uncultured bacterium. Its description in RNAcentral is "partial 16S ribosomal RNA". It matches the Rfam family "Bacterial small subunit ribosomal RNA", at positions 102 to 334 of the family's 1533-position model. The record is from RNAcentral.